This 53-nucleotide ribosomal RNA is filed under the name Verrucomicrobiales bacterium VVV1. RNAcentral describes it as "partial 23S ribosomal RNA". The record is from RNAcentral. Lineage: Bacteria; Pseudomonadati; Verrucomicrobiota; Verrucomicrobiia; Verrucomicrobiales.
AUGAGAUCUCACUGGAACCUUGAGUUCCCUGAAAGGCCGUCGAAGACUACGAC